This 253-nucleotide ribosomal RNA is filed under the name uncultured bacterium. Its description in RNAcentral is "partial 16S ribosomal RNA". It matches the Rfam family "Bacterial small subunit ribosomal RNA", at positions 524 to 776 of the family's 1533-position model. The record is from RNAcentral.
UACGGAGGGUGCGAGCGUUAAUCGGAAUCACUGGGCGUAAAGCGCGCGUAGGCGGCUUUUCAAGUCGGGGGUGAAAUCCCACGGCCCAACCGUGGAACUGCCUUUGAAACUGUAGAGCUUGAGUGUCGGAGAGGGUGGCGGAAUUCCAGGUGUAGGAGUGAAAUCCGUAGAUAUCUGGAGGAACACCGGUGGCGAAGGCGGCCACCUGGACGACAACUGACGCUGAGGUGCGAAAGCGUGGGUAGCAAACAGG